This 154-nucleotide ribosomal RNA is filed under the name uncultured fungus. RNAcentral's name for it is "partial 5.8S ribosomal RNA". It matches the Rfam family "5.8S ribosomal RNA". From Rfam's summary of the family: 5.8S ribosomal RNA (5.8S rRNA) is a component of the large subunit of the eukaryotic ribosome. Lineage: Eukaryota; Fungi. The record is from RNAcentral.
AACUUUCAACAACGGAUCUCUUGGCUCACGCAUCGAUGAAGAACGCAGCGAAAUGCGAUAAGUAAUGUGAAUUGCAGAAUUCAGUGAAUCAUCGAAUCUUUGAACGCACCUUGCGCUCUCUGGUAUUCCGGAGAGCAUGCCUGUUAGAGUGUCA